UUUCCGUAGGUGAACCUGCGGAAGGAUCAUUAUCGUAUAACCGAGGUGCGAUGGCUGUCGCUGACCCGAAAGGUCGUGCACGCCCGAGUGCCCUCACACACAUCCAUCUCACCCCUAUGUGCACCACCGCGUGGGUCCCCCUUUGGCUUGUUCGGAGGGGGGCUUACGUUUUCACACAAACUUUGUAUGCAGUGUAGAAUGUAUUUUUUGUUUUUGCGAUCACGCAAUCAAUACAACUUUCAACAACGGAUCUCUUGGCUCUC
This 263-nucleotide unclassified non-coding RNA is filed under the name plant metagenome. RNAcentral describes it as "partial contains small subunit ribosomal RNA, internal transcribed spacer 1, and 5.8S ribosomal RNA". The record is from RNAcentral.